CAGCUCAUGGCAGGAAGUUACCUUAAAUCUUACUCUGUGUGGCUUCCUUUGCAUGCCUGGCACAAGAUACGGAUGUAAUAUAAUGGAGAAACAGACUGGUACUUGCCCUUAGGGGCCCUGCAGUCCAGUGCCCAGGUCAACAGGAGUGUCCUUCUGCAGAGGGAUGGGAGCAAAUGCUUCAGGCUCUGUGAGCCAUGGGGUCUCUGCUGCAGCUCCCAUGGUGUGUAAGCAGCUCCAGCUCCAGCUACUGUGUAAAAGAAUCUCUGGAGGAUCCUUGCAAUGGAGGAUUUGAAAUUGUAUUGGGGAGCAACAACAGUCACUCCUCCAAGUCACCAGGUGUCGCUGGUGUGCCAAAGCGGCGAAGUGUCAGAGUCAAAUUUUCCAGCUGGGUGUCUACUGGAAUCCAUCAGUCCUGUUUCUUCCUCAGCCUGGCUGUUUUGGAUCUACUAAAUCUUUUGAAUUUAGGCUCAGAAAUCAGUGUAUGCAAAAGUUCCUACAUAAAACCAUUCAUUCUUUGGGGUGGG
Molecule: long non-coding RNA, 524 nt
Filed under: Heterocephalus glaber (naked mole-rat)
Lineage: Eukaryota; Metazoa; Chordata; Mammalia; Rodentia; Bathyergidae
Description: lncRNA (ENSHGLG00000039314.1)
Source: RNAcentral